AGAGUUUGAUCCUGGCUCAGGAUGAACGCUAGCGGCAGGCUUAAUACAUGCAAGUCGAGGGGUAACAUGGGUAGCAAUACCUGAUGACGACCGGCAAACGGGUGCGGAACACGUACGCAACCUUCCCAUAACUGGUGAAUAGCCUUUCGAAAGAGAGAUUAAUACACCGUAACAUAACGAAGAGGCAUCUCUUUGUUAUUAUAGGCUUCGGCCGGUUUUGGAUGGGCGUGCGCCUGAUUAGGUAGUUGGCGGGGUAACGGCCCACCAAGCCUGCGAUCAGUAACUGGUGUGAGAGCACGACCAGUCACACGGGCACUGAGACACGGGCCCGACUCCUACGGGAGGCAGCAGUAAGGAAUAUUGGUCAAUGGACGCAAGUCUGAACCAGCCAUGCCGCGUGAAGGAUGAAGGCCCUCUGGGUUGUAAACUUCUUUUAUAUGGGACGAAACCCUCGAAUUCUUUCGGGACUGACGGUACCAUAAGAAUAAGCACCGGCUAACUCCGUGCCAGCAGCCGCGGUAAUACGGAGGGUGCAAGCGUUAUCCGGAUUCACUGGGUUUAAAGGGUGCGUAGGAGGGUAGGUAAGUCAGUGGUGAAAUCUCCGAGCUUAACUCGGAAACUGCCGUUGAUACUAUCUAUCUUGAAUACCGUGGAGGUGAGCGGAAUAUGUCAUGUAGCGGUGAAAUGCUUAGAUACGACAUAGAACACCAAUUGCGAAGGCAGCUCACUACACGAAUAUUGACUCUGAGGCACGAAAGCGUGGGGAUCAAACAGGAUUAGAUACCCUGGUAGUCC
RNAcentral lists this ribosomal RNA (795 nucleotides) under uncultured bacterium. RNAcentral's name for it is "bacterial SSU rRNA". It matches the Rfam family "Bacterial small subunit ribosomal RNA", at positions 8 to 796 of the family's 1533-position model. The record is from RNAcentral.